This 510-nucleotide ribosomal RNA is filed under the name uncultured bacterium. RNAcentral describes it as "partial 16S ribosomal RNA". It matches the Rfam family "Bacterial small subunit ribosomal RNA", at positions 28 to 507 of the family's 1533-position model. The record is from RNAcentral.
GACGAACGCUGGCGGCGUGCUUAACACAUGCAAGUCGAACGAAGAGCGAUGGAAGCUUGCUUCUAUCAAUCUUAGUGGCGAACGGGUGAGUAACGCGUAAUCAACCUGCCCUUCAGAGGGGGACAACAGUUGGAAACGACUGCUAAUACCGCAUACGAUCUAAUCUCGGCAUCGAGGAUAGAUGAAAGGUGGCCUCUACAUGUAAGCUAUCACUGAAGGAGGGGAUUGCGUCUGAUUAGCUAGUUGGAGGGGUAACGGCCCACCAAGGCGAUGAUCAGUAGCCGGUCUGAGAGGAUGAACGGCCACAUUGGGACUGAGACACGGCCCAGCCUCCUACGGGAGGCAGCAGUGGGGAAUCUUCCGCAAUAGACGAAAGUCUGACGGAGCAACGCCGCGUGAGCGAUGACGGCCUUCGGGUUGUAAAGCUCUGUUAAUCGGGACGAAAGGCCUUCUUGCGAAUAGUGAGAAGGAUUGACGGUACCGGAAUAGAAAGCCACGGCUAACUACGUG